Molecule: unclassified non-coding RNA, 432 nt
Filed under: Hevea brasiliensis (rubber tree)
Lineage: Eukaryota; Viridiplantae; Streptophyta; Magnoliopsida; Malpighiales; Euphorbiaceae
Source: RNAcentral
AAAGGCUCUAUUGAUCUUAUGGAACUUGAACUGAAGAAGAUGUAUGAACAUGUUCAAAGCAUCCAUGACGAGAUGUUUUAUCUACGUGAAAGGGAGGAAGAAAUGCAAGAACUUAACAGAUCAACCAACUCCAAAAUGGCCUGGAUGACUGGACUGUCAAUCUGUGUAUGCUUAUCUGUAGCAGGAUUGCAAUUGUGGCAUUUGAAAACCUUUUUCGAAAAGAAGAAGCUAAUCUAAUGUUAUUCUCAUAUUUUCACUACCCUCACGUUCGAGUAGAAUCUUUUAUAGACAACACAAUAGUUAGAAGGAAAGUUGUGUUACAUGUACUAUGUGGUAGAAAAUUGCAUGUGUUACUCUCAGAGCUCUGUUUGCCUUCUCUCUGAAUCUGAUUUUCCACAGAACAAGAAUUUGUUACAAAAGGCCUAAUAUGGG